RNAcentral lists this long non-coding RNA (890 nucleotides) under Numida meleagris (helmeted guineafowl). RNAcentral's name for it is "lncRNA (ENSNMEG00000010686.1)". The record is from RNAcentral. Lineage: Eukaryota; Metazoa; Chordata; Aves; Galliformes; Numididae.
CCCCAGGAUCCAUAUGUCUAUGAACUUUGUCUAUGGACUUCAAAAGCUUUUGACAUAUCUCUGCUCUGCAGAGGAGAGAUGAAGGACAGCACUUCUCAGGCUGAGAGGCACUAUAUACCUUAUCCCCCACAUUGCUCAGGAACUAGGACUGCAAUCCCGCUGGCAUCACAAACAAGCUGAAUUACUGCAUAAUACCCAGCAGAAGCAUGGUUCCAUAAUGAAGACAAAACAGCAGCAGAUAGGUAUUAACAGAACAUUUUUAAUAGUAUCAUCCCAACCCUGCCUUCAGCCCACACUUGGGGGACACUUCUGAGGCAAGCUGCACUGGACAAAGCCCCUAAGAUUGACUAAGGGGCAGGGAGAAUCCUGGAAUCAGCUGAAGAAGCGCUAACACCACACCUGUGUGUGGUUCCCGCUGAAUGAUUGGAGCAAUGCCAGGCCAGGCAGGGCCGCUGGGUGGGGUGGAGCCGCUGCCAUGAUGAGUGGCAGAAGGGGGUGGGGCCAAGCCAAGGGCAGCGCCACCAUUGGUCAGGGACCAUUCUGAACCCUGUGACAUCACAAAGACACUGCAUAGCUGUGGGCAGGGGGGCAGAGCCAGUCACUCCCUGGCUGUUGGGCCAGGUGGUCAGUAGCUGUUGGGCCUUAUGCUGGUGGUGGGUAGCAUUUGAGAAGUAGAAUAGAAAUGGGAGUGGAAGGAUACAUCUUCAGAGACAGAAGUAUUCACAACCAAAAAGGGUACAAACUAAGCUGGCAGUUUCCCAGUGAGCAUAGCUGCUGUGGAAUUCUCUGCAAUUUGGAAGUGAGAAAACAUGCCACUCUUAAAGCAAAGUUUUAAUUUGUCACUUUUUAUAAAACAAUGUGUAAGUAGUAGAGUUUAUUCUCAUAUGUGG